AGCUCGUGCCGUGAGGUGUUGGGUUAAGUCCCGCAACGAGCGCAACCCUUGUCGUUAGUUACCAANCACGGUAAUGGUGGGGACUCUAAUGAGACUGCCUAGGUUAACUAGGAGGAAGGUGAGGAUGACGUCAAGUCCGCAUGGCCUUUAUGUCUGGGGCUACACACGUGCUACAAUGGUCGGUACAGAAGGCAGCGAAGCCGAAAGGUGGAGCAAAUCCCAAAAACCGAUCUCAGUUCGGAUAGAAGUCUGCAACUCGACUUCUUGAAGUUGGAAUUGCUAGUAAUGACGUGUCAGCAAUAACGUCGUGAAUACGUUCCCGGGCCUUGUACACACCGCCCGU
RNAcentral lists this ribosomal RNA (343 nucleotides) under uncultured Simkania sp. RNAcentral's name for it is "bacterial SSU rRNA". It matches the Rfam family "Bacterial small subunit ribosomal RNA", at positions 1057 to 1397 of the family's 1533-position model. Lineage: Bacteria; Pseudomonadati; Chlamydiota; Chlamydiia; Parachlamydiales; Simkaniaceae. The record is from RNAcentral.